CGGAGGUUCCUGCAGUUGAUGACUCCGACAAACCAUAAUGUUAAUUGAUUUUAGUAGUUAGCGGAAGCGAAGCUAGGAGGUCUUGAACUGCACUCCACUGGCUGUACUUUGCUGCUGUGUUUGCAAAACUGGGAAGCCUACAAUUUCCCGUUGCUUCAGUGAAAGGUAAUACUAUACCUUCAAUGAUUUUGCUUCUCGCUUGAAUGCUAGUCAGGAUUGAGAGCAUGUUUGUACAUUUUCUGUUAGUGUCAUUUAAUGGAAUACCUGCAAUGAUUUAUUUGUUGGUUGAAUGCUGGUGAGGAUUGUGAAUGCUGACAUGUGUGUACGUUUUCUACUAUUGUCACUUGUUGUCAAGACUAAAUGAUGGUGCCUGUCGAUCGAGUUACCCCAUUCUUGCUGCUUCAUGUGACUGUUUUCCUAGCAUUACUAAUAGCCAAGAUCGAAAUAGCGUGUAUAUUUCUUGCCAAGAGAGCAUUUACUCGAACAUACAUGUGAUCUAACACCACAAGUUGUAACACCUAAUGUCUGGUGUGGAACAGUAAUAAACAUUUUUGGAUUACUAGUUUAGAUUUAAUAAAUUAGCUAUCGUGUAUAUGUUUGUAUCUUUUAUUUUUAAUAUAAUACUUGUAUAUGUUCGUGUCUUUUAUUUUUAUUCAUAUUUUGCAUAACAUAUAAAAGGGUUGCAGUAGGCUUAAUAAUCCUAAUUUAGUUGGCUUUUGUGGUCAUUUCAGACUUGUAAACACAAGUUAUGUGCAGUCAUCACGUAGAGGUAAAACUGUUCAGAAAUAAGUCAUCGAAAUAAUUAUUUUGAGGAUUUUUUAACUAUACAGAGUGGUACGGAAUAUCAGUUAGUAUAACACCUAGGAGCUACCCAGGUGGCACAUGGUUAGAUGGGCAUUUGAAGUAGUGUCUAGGGCUGGAUUACUACAUUGUUCUAUGGUAGUGUCAUGUAGGCAUUUGUGGGGACUUUCGACUAUAGUGAAUCACCUUAGACUAUUUCUCAUUGUAAUCGUUCAUACCUUUCAAAGUCUAUGUUUAUAAUUUGCAUUACCUAUCAAGUGUUUGCUGAAAUUGCUACUUAUGGAUUAUAAGUUGAACGCUUUUUUUAACCCGUCUUUUUUGCAUAUCACAAGAGGUUUCGGGAAGGUUGACCCUUUUGGGAUGGACACGCAAGAGUGUCACACAACAUAGGGAUAGCUGCUUAAGUCCAUGACAAAUUAUAUGAGAGUGGAAUAGGCACACUUAAAAAAUACUUGGUAUACAAAUGUGAGGGACCUAGCGAGGCAGCGUUAAGGGCAGCUAGCACGCGUAACCGUUUGUGAGAAACGGGUGUUGAGAUGUGGGGAAAGAAGUUGAUUAGAAGAGCAGGCAUCGGAAAUUGACAUUUAAAGGAAUAGCCAACCCAUUGCGCGAGAGGCACCACGAGGACAAGCGAGCUGGGAAGAACACAAUGCACAAAAGUUAGAAUGGCUGAAUUCGAGCUACGACUUGACAUGGUAACCAAACUUGAUGGUGCUUAAGGUAAGUGAGGUGUUUGGCAAAGGAUGAGAUCAUGCAAGGUGGGGUGAUUUGGUCAGCGAUCGAAAGAGUUAUGCAAAGCUCAUAGAGGUGAGGAGAAUUGCUAAUUCAAAAAAUUCGGUACUUAUGCAAGGGCUUGUAUGUACACAAUGGACUGUCUAUAGCCAUCCCAAUGCAAUUAAAACUUUGAUGCUAUGGAACAUUAAAACUUUUCCUUCAACAUGAGAAUGAUACAUCCAUAGAAAGCUGAAGUGUACAGCAAGUUCAACAUAUUACUAAGUCUUGAGGAGCAUAGUAGGGGUUGUAUUGACGAAGAGUCGCAAUCUAGUAAGUAUGUUUAUAGGGAUAGAAUAGUGCAUAGUUUGUUUAGCAAGGCUGAGUAGUUUAAGGGGAUGGUGGUCUCCAAAACUUUUGGAGGGAAGGAUGCGAAAAGUUACUCCAAUAAGAGAGAUAUCCAAGAGGGAUAAGUCUCAAUUCGUCGGAUGGAGAAUCAUAUAUAAUAAACUGUACAUGUUUAGGAAGGGUACCUCAAGAUAAUAACUCUAUAAAACUCAACGGACCGAGUGAACAACGAUGAGUCAUCACAUGAUCUCACAUAAGGUAAUGUGUUAGGGAACACAUUGCAAGAUUAAGUGGGGGAAUGACCCAAGACAACACCAAACGAAGCCACUUAGAAUCGAUAUGAAGAUCAGACUCAACGGAGUGUUGACUGGUGGAAUAGUGGGUGUGAGGGUCACACUCAACUCAAUGCAAAUCGAGUAGAGAUCAAGGGCAUGAAGUUUAUGUAACAAAGAUCAGAAUGCAAUAGGGAUUCAUUAGGAAGCGAUAUAGUGCAGUGGAUCAUGGUGGAACAAUUCAAGGCAAUGCGACACAUACGAAAAAAUUCUUGCGAGGGACUAGAUUAUAUAGAGGUAUGAUCGGGAUCUACUAAGUGCUCUACUUCAGUGAAUAAUAAGACAACAAGAAGGGCUAUUGAUUCAAGGAGUGAAUGUUAUGGUAUCAUAUAUUCGGGUCUUCCGUGCAUGUAUCGAAUUUUACAUCGAAUAAAAGCUUUGGUCAUCAGCAUAUGAGGGUUAUAUACCAUCAAGGAGAAAUUCUGAAUGUAAGUUUUAGUGAGUCUUAUGAGGGGGUCUUAAUCAUAUAGAUGUAUGAUUAAAGGGGCUACAGAGUUGGAUUGCUCAGGAACUCAUAUUCACUUAAGGGAGCAUAGUAAGCUAGAGGAUAAUACCGAGUAAAUGAACGUUGCUUCCAAGGAAACAAAGGAGAAUAGAAUCAGCAUGAGCCCUAUAAUAUGAUGGCAAAGGUCAUACAUGUAUGUUGCAAUACGUAUUUCUAUCGAGCAAGGGAAACUACUCGGAGAACACAAAGGUGUCGAAGUAAGUGAUUGAAAGAGGUAAGGAAGUGAUGAGAGGUCUAAAGGGACUUAGCUAUCUAAAACUAAGCAUAAGUUAUAAUAGAGGUAGACUCGAAAUAGUGUUGUAGUGCCAUAGAGGUAGAUUUACCGAUCACAAAGAAAUGGAUGCAGAUGCGAGGUAAUAAAUAGUGGAAUCAUAGACAUGGCAGCGCCAUGGUACUGCAAAGGUGGGAGUCACAUGGAGUCAUUGAUCCCUUGCUUUUUUGGAGAUAGAGCAUUUGGUAAGAAUAUGUAGACAAACUUCAAGUAUUGAGUCAAUGCCGAAAGGCAGAGGCUAGGGAACUUCGUAAGACUAGUGUUGAUGUACUUCUCAUCAAAAUAGUCGAAAGUAAGAGACUUUAGAUCAGUGUAGGAGUGCUCGACCAAGAAAUGAAGUAGGCAAUACAAGAUACUGUACUUUUUCUACUUAGAGUAGGCAAUAGAAAUAAUGAAGAAAACGAUAUAAUCCCAUAGGCGACUAAAACUAUUGGAGACUUGCUUCAAAUUGGAACAAAAUUUUGUUAUUUUCGGGCAAAGUUUUUUGUAUUCCAGAAAUUUGAUGGCAAUAAGAAAGUGAAUCAUAGUAGUUGACUCAGCAUAAGGAGUGCAAAUAAUUUAGGUGCUAUGGAAGUAUGAGCAAAGAGCAAAAGAAGUCAAGAAAUCUUUGCCUUCUUAACUCUUAAGAGAAUUGACAAAAUAAAGUAUCCUAUAUCUCUUAUUUAUGUAAUAGAAGAGCUAUACAUAUGUUCAAAGAACUUUCUAAGAAACCUAGUAGAAGACAACAGUUGUGAAAUCUUCAUCAAUGAUUAUUAAUGCUAUCGAGAGUAGAUUGUCUAUUUCAUUUCCAAACAUAAUUCUAAUCGAAAACGGAAGUGUUGUGAACCUACUUAGAUGUGACAACUAAAUAGAAGGAAAUCAAUGGGUAAAUUUUACAGAGGAAAUACCUUAAUAACUUUAAAGCUCGCGAGGUGAUGCUCGUUAAAACUCCAACAGACAUCCACCUAAUUCAAGUGAUAUAACACAUUUGAGAGAUUUGCGUAUAACAAAAAAAGUUUUUUCCUUCAUCUGAAAGAUUCGCAGGAACCAUUAAGGAUUAGCAUAACUCAAUUGAUCCCACACUAGAGUCAAAGUCAAUAGCGAGUUGAAGCAGCAUGACAGAUCAAAGUUUGACUACUUAACAAUAGCGAAGAGCAGUUGGGAGCUAAGAGAUUCAUUGUAAUUGGAGCAAAAGAUUGAAGAUUAAGCAAAGACGAUGAGAUCCAACAUCCAUAAAGGCUUCAACGAGGAUGUCGAAGGAAUAAAUGAUGGAGAAUAUCACAAACAAAGUUGUAAACAUGGUGUUCGAUGUAAUGCUCAUGUAUGCUCGUAUCUUUCAAUUUUGUUCAUGCUUUGCACAACAUGUAGAGGGCUUGCAGUAAGCAUGAUAGCCCCAUUUUGGUUGAUUUUUAUGAUCAUUCUAAGCUUGUAAACGUAGGUUGUAUAUAGUCAUUACGUAGAGGCAAAACUAGCUAGAAACAUAUCAUCCAGAUAGCUAUUUUGGGAGUUUUCUAGCUCUGUAAAGUGGUGUGAAGUGUCAACCAGCACAACACCCGAGAGCUAUUCGAGUGGCACAUGGUUGGAUGAGCCUUUGGGGCUGAUUCACUGGCUGUCUUAUUCUGUAGCAUAUUAUGUAGCAAUAUCGUGUGAGCACUUGUGGGAACUUUUGGUCGUAGCAAAUCAUCUUAGACCCUUUGUCAAGGACCAUUCAAAGCUUGCGAAGUCUAUAUUUAUAAUUUACUGAAAUGAUUAAUUAUGGAUGUUAAGUUAAACUAUUUCUUCAACACAUCUUUUCUUUUGCAUAAGAUGUUUCGGUGAGAUUAAUCAUUUACGAACAAACACAUAAGGAUGAGUUUUUUCUUUUGCAUAAGAUAUUUCGGUGAGAUUAAUCAUUUACGAACAAACACAUAAGGAUGACAUAUGACUUCAGCAAACCAACUAAGUCCGUCGUAUAAUACCAACUAACACAUAAUAAUGUGAAUCUUGUUAAAUUUAUUCAAACAAAUCAUGUGUUUUUAUUAUUAUUCACAACUAACCCUUUUCGAUAUGAAUUUUCUUUAAAAAAUUAUUUACUCACAGUAAAAUCACUUAAUUCUGAUAUGGGAUUAAAUCAAGGUAUUAAAAUUAAGGUCAAUCAAAGUUUUCAUCCGAAAGAAAAAGACAAAUGGCAACCAUCACAAGCACUAGCGCUAGUCCGAAAACAGUAUGAAAAAGGCACAAAUGGCAAGUAUGAAGUAAAAGUACGGCGACCAACAGAACGCCGGCAACGCCGUCAUUCCCAUUUGGUUUGAAUCGUACCCGUGUGCUUGAAGUCAACGAUCAAGGCCGAGCUUCCAUCCAUCCUACUCACCACAAACCUCUCCACCAACACGUAGCACCCAAAUCUCUUCCACGGGCCCACCCCUCCGUACUCCUCCGACCUCUCCACCUUCACAUCACCGCCGACCCACCCUCCCCUCCCCUGCUCCCACCUCAUUCUCUCCCAUACCGGGGAGCUCAGCCCCACCCUCUCUCCCUCCAAAUCAAGCGGCUUGAACCACACCACGCCGUCCUGUCCACCUGCGCCGUCUCGCGUCGCCUCCACGCCACCCAACACCGCGCCCUCCGCCCGAACAGUAGCCUUCACUUCCACGGUCCUCCGAUCGCCAUACAAGUUCUCGCACGCGAACACCUGUUCCCAGCGCUGCUCGAGGGUGAUAUCGUAGAAAGCCGAGCGCUCCAUUUGACGCCGCAGGCUAUCUCCUUCCUUCACGAACACGCAGGGGGCGUACCACCUCCCCACGACCAAACCGGCACCACCUGCGCCUGAUAUCGGCAACUCCAACGCGGGCGUGCGGGCACGAAGGGCUUUGUCGAGCCCCCAGGCGUCGGUCAAGUCGAAGUCCGUGGGCUUCGAAGCAUAAAGCCUCCAGUCCUUUCUCCUCAGGGGCCAUGGAGCGAACCCAUCCGGAGCUACGGACUGCGCGGUGAACCUGCCUCUCUUGCAGACGAUCUCCACCUGCUGGUAGAUGUCCCUGUGAUCGAACUCUCUCGGCUUGACAUCGUUGACGCACUGGCAGAAGCAGCAUGUGGUCAUGUCUUCCUCCAGGGAGCAUGUAUACGCUUUCCUGCACAUGCAAUCGAAAUCAACCCAACAUUGUUGUGAGAAAACUACGGGAGGUGGGGGAGGGAUGGAAGGAGAUCGAGAGAGGUGCGCCACCCUUUCUUUUUGCCCUUUGCGACGAUGACGUAGUAGUGAUUGGAGGAGAACGAUUUGUAGAGGACGGGGAUGAACAGGGCCGGGAACCGGUGGGUGGUAGAGCUCUGGCCAUUGUGCUCCGUGUAGGUGAUGGUGAGGAUCCUGUUCUGAGGGAAGGGGAGCUCUCGAACCCUCGUGUCUUCACAGAGCCCCCAGCAGCAUGAGGGGUUUGGUUCAGCUCCCUCGUCCUGGAGAAGCAGAUAGCCUGAGUUGGGCCCUGCCGGUGGUGGUGGUUGAAUGGCGGCAGCACCAGCAGAGUUCUUGAAGACGGAGAGCGGCCUCGUCGUGUACAUCUCCUCGGCCCUGGUUGUUCCCGGAGAUGAGGUUUGUGGAGGUGAAGAUGGCUCUGAUACUGCUAUUAGUACACCAAGAUCUCUCGCUCUUUCUCCGAUCUUUCACAGUAGACCUUUCAAAUCUUUUCUCUGUUAUGAUCCAUUGAUGACAUCUUCUAAGAAGCUAACCUUUGGUAGAUUAUGACAAUGCCGUGGAGCUGUGAAGAAUAUGUGAAUGAUCAACUCGAUCCAACAAAUCAAUGAGAGAAAGAGUCAGAGAUGCGUGGGCAUAAUAUUUAAUGCUUCUUUUUUGAAAAUAUUGACAAUCUAACCUUACAAUUUGAGUCAUCGUAGCAUAAGAUGAAGAAUGCUUCUCCUCUUCAUCUUCAUAUCAGAGAGGUUCCAUCUGCAUCUUCGUGGAGAUGGUACCCAAACAAUCAACCGUAAGACGCCUUCAAAGAAAGAAAUCGGUUCACCAAUCAUUAAAGCAACAUGGAGAGCUUCCUUACAACUGCUAAAAGAAGAAAUAGUAAAAGGUCAGCUUCUUUUGCUUGCGAGGUCAUCGUUAUACGGUCCGAGAGAGAGGGAGAGACAGAGAGAGAGAAGCCUAGACAAAACCAAAGAGAUGAUGAUAAGGUUCGAAAAGUCCGCGUACUUGAUAUGAGGUGAUGGCAGUCACUGGCAGCGCCAUGCAUUCAACAACAUACCGGAGGAUGCGCUCAUCUCUCUCCGUGUGAUCGGAGCGUUGACCAGCUUCCCUCCGAGUUGCGUCUGAGAAGCUGCGGAGAUCACAGAACCUGCACCAAACUAAUGGUAGAAGAUAAGCCACCACAUUAAAGACCUGCUUGUUUGCAGUUCCAGCAGUCUCUCAUCUUCACAUGGAGCUCAUAGUGCCGGAGUCACGAUCGACAAGUCUUAGCAUCCUAAAAUCCGAAACAUGACAGAUGAAAUAAUAUUCAACAAUGUUCAAUGUAAAGCAGUAUCGAACCUCGCUUGGAUAUACCGUAAAAUGAUGAAAUAAUAUUCAACAAUGUUCAAUGUAAAGAAUUGUUGCUGCAACGAAAAAUCCAACAACUAAUUUGUCAAAGAGGUUACCACAAGAAAGUAAAGAAAGCUCAUGAAAUUGAUGAGGCAGAUAAUAGAGAACUCUAUUUCCUCAUAUUUCUUGAGGAUGCCAGCUAUAUAUUUUGAGCAACUAAAAUCCUCAUCUAAAAGAAUUAUUUUUGAAGUAAUAAGAACUAAUUUAUUGACAUACUUUUCUAUUUUGGAAGAGAAAUACAAACCCUUCCUGCAUCAUUGGUCCAGCCACACAGGAAAAACAUCAAAAACACACAACACCUCUGCUAGCAUAACCUUACUGUAAUCUCCAAAAGAACACUCAUCCAUUUGUUAAUAAACUAAAGGAAUCCUCAUACUUUCAAUCAAAUGUCCCAAAUAACAAUGAACAAAUAAUAGAUUUCACAGAUAUAACAACAUGAAAACAAAUAAAGAGAAGUUGAAAUUGUUUGUAUGUAGGGAUUACUCUUUCUUUUUUUAUUCUUUAUUUGAUUAUAAAAUCUAAAACAAUGAUUGAUGCCUUUUUUUUUUUCUUUCCACAAGUUACUGCUCUAAAGUUCUGAAGCUAGACUUUUUUUUUUUUGUAAGAAUACAACCUUUUGAUAUUUAGAAACUUAAAGAUGCAAUAAUAAGGAAUCCUAGACACUGGAUCACCUCUCUGAAGUUGUUAAGCUAAAUCUUUUCUAUAAAAAAGCAACCUUUUGAGAUUUAACUGAAAGAUACAAUAAUGAGGAUUCCUACAAUGAAGACAUUGCAUCACCUACAAAUUAUUAUUAUUAUUAUUAUUAUUAUUAUUAUUAUUAUUAUUGUGAUAAAUUAUCAAGAUCUUUAUUGAAAAAAAAGGAGAUAAUCUUAUAAAAUUAACACUAUGACCCAUUAUAUAGAUUAAAUAAAUAAAAAAGAUUAACACAAUUGUAUGAGCAACUCAAAAUUCGACAUGAUUUACAUGUAAAAAAGUAACCUUCUAAGAAAUUGUGAUGUGGUGUACUGUACAGUCUUUACAUGUAUUAGCAGAACAAGCAUAGGAAGUCUUUAUCUUAAAAAAUAGAAAAGUAGUUAGAUAUGUUCUCUUUUGUUCCCCCGUGCGAAAACAAGUUCAGUCAUUCUCAAGAAGCCAAAAUGUUUUUUUGUCUCUCAUAGAUUAUAUUAUCCAUCACACUCUCAUUUAAAGUGGUUCAGGGACAGUAGUUCAGAAACACAUCCACAACACAACCUAUUAAUUCUCUUACUUGAGAGGUAUAUUGACUAAUCAUUUAUCUCGAAAUUGAAGAUUAUUUUGUGUGUAAAAAGUCAUUAAUUCACGAAGCAUUCAGUCGAACACUUUGAGCUCAUAUCGGGAGACAUGUACUUUCUGCUGAUCCGAAAGUCACCUGUCACAUAUUAGAACCCUACAGUUCCAGUAAUGCUACAACAUAAGUGUUGAUUUCACAUGGAUUUGAUCGCGGGAAAGAACAAGAACGCACCACCAAGAUUCAAGCCAUUCGAAAUCAAGAAAGCUAAAAAGGCAAGAACACCACACCACCACCUCUUCUCUGCGAUAUAAGAUGCACGAACACAUAAUCUUGAGAAAGGCAAGGAACAUAGGGAGGCAAAGAAAGGGACGGACCUGCCUAGUUCUUCUCGGUGAGACCGGACACGAUCCACCGCCGUCGUGUUCGCAUUGGCCCCUCCCUGGUGACCGAUCUGACCGCGAUCGCGGAUAAGCCGCACGUCACUUCAGUUUGGGGCACCCUAAUCCCCGGAGAGUACCCACGCCUCGGAGCCCACAAAGCCCUCCCAUUCUCCCACAUCCAAAUGUGGCUUGGAGCCAACGUCACCCUCCCUCAUCGACGCUCCAUCGCCCCAAAUCACUUUGGUCAUUCUCCUCGAUGUAAACGCAUUCUUGGAAGACGAUAGCUUUAAGCAUUGAGCUGCUCUGCACAUGGAUCUCACGUGAUACCUUUUAUUCUAUUUGAAUCAGAUGCUAAUAGACUCAUGUUCACGAUUUGAAUUGGUUCAUUUCGAUUGGACCCGGUUCAGAUCGACCGGUUGGAUCCAAUCUGAUGGCUAUGAUUCUAUCAGAUUCUACUGAUGUAGUGAUGAGAAAUCUUUCUUUAUCCAUUAUUUUCAUUGUAUUACUCCGCCAAAUACAACUCAAUUUCAUGGGUGAACUUAUGAGCUCGGCCAUGGAGUCAAUUUUGACCAGUCAAUGCUUAAACAUACCAAUCAUCUCCAUCGAUAUAUGCAUUGCUUUAACAAAUCAGGAUUAGAAAAAGAACAUUAUUAUAUGAUGUAAGCACAUUGACUCGCCCGUAAAGGUUUCAUCGAGAAGUACUCGGCCAUUCAUAUUGCCCGAGAGAAGAAGCAGCAGCCACCAUUUUCGUGUGAUCAUCACACUAUAAGAGGUCUAGUGUCUCUACAUCAGGUUCAAGCAGCCCUGUGAUACCAAACACACUGCAAGUCCAAGCAGACCUGGAAGCGAUCAAAUCUUCAUUGCUCAAAGAAAGUGCUACUGCUUCUGCACAACCAUAUGAUCUUUCAGUGUUAGCUGAUACCGAUUUGUCAAACUACCCUGCGGAGGUUCCUGCAGUUGAUGACUCCGACAAACCAUAAUGUUAAUUGAUUUUAGUAGGUAGCGGAAGCGAAGCUACGAGGUCUUGAACUGCACUCCACCGGCUGUUCUUUGCUGCUGUGUUUGCAAAACUGGGAAGCCUACAGUUUCCCGUUGCUUCAGUGAAAGGUAAAUACUACUAUACCUUCAAUGAUUUUGCUUCUCGCUUGAAUGCUAGUCAGGAUUGUGAGCAUGUUUGUACAUUUUCUUUUAGUGUCAUUUAAUGGAAUACCUGCAAUGAUUUAUUUGUUGGUUGAAUGCUGGUGAGGAUUGUGAAUGCUGACAUGUGUGAUCGUUUUCUACCAUUGUCACUUGUUGUCAAGACUAAAUGAUGGUGCCUGUCGAUCGAGUUACCCCAUUCUUGCUGCUUCAUGUGACUGUUUUCCUAGCAUUACUAAUAGCCA
Molecule: long non-coding RNA, 10507 nt
Filed under: Musa acuminata (dwarf banana)
Lineage: Eukaryota; Viridiplantae; Streptophyta; Magnoliopsida; Zingiberales; Musaceae
Description: long non-coding RNA (MACU_LNC002939)
Source: RNAcentral